UACGUAGGGCGCAAGCGUUGUCCGGAAUUAUUGGGCGUAAAGAGCUCGUAGGCGGUCUGUUACGUCCGCUGUGAAAACCCAGGGCUUAACCCUGGGCUUGCAGUGGAUACGGGUAGACUAGAGGCAGGUAGGGGAGAAUGGAAUUCCCGGUGUAGCGGUGAAAUGCGCAGAUAUCGGGAGGAACAUCAGUGGCGAAGGCGGUCUGCUGGGCCGUUGCUGACGCUGAGGCGCGACAGCGUGGGGAGCAAACAGG
This 253-nucleotide ribosomal RNA is filed under the name uncultured bacterium. RNAcentral's name for it is "partial 16S ribosomal RNA". It matches the Rfam family "Bacterial small subunit ribosomal RNA", at positions 524 to 776 of the family's 1533-position model. The record is from RNAcentral.